CCCCCCCCCCCCCCGGGCAGUUCAAUUCUGAUGCCUAAUCAAUGUGUGAAGAAUCAAUACCAAAAACUGUGUCAUUUCAAUCUACAAGGUAAAAAGAGACAUAAGUGGACACUCUCGUUUAGGUUCUCUUCCUCCUCUUCCAGUGAGUUUCCACAACAACAGCAAAAAUUACUCAUAUUGCAAUUCGAUCCUCCUUCUUUUGUUGUUUUUUGAAAUGAAAAUCUGAGCAAUGCCAAGGCCAAGGAAGAUGAUGAUGCUUAGUUCGAUUGGAUUACGAGGGAGAGGAGGCUGUAUUAGUAUAAGCAGCUCCUCCAAGGUUAAAGUGACACUUCUAAAAUGGGUUCUAUAAGACUAGUGGUCAAGUGGUUUGGACUAGAGAACGUGUUGAUUGGUGAUGAUCCAACAUCCAAGGCGGUUUGGACUAGAGAACGUGUUGAUUGCUGAUUGGUGAUGACCCAAGGCGCAUUAAAGUCUUCAUCGGUGGAUCCUAAAAAACUUAUGUAGCGAGUCGGUGAGAGAGUGUAUAAGAGGGGUUAAGGUGUGAAUAUGAGAGGGUGUUGGAGUCCGAAAAGUACCGGAGGUGCUCGUAGGCAUAUGGACUUAAGGUGGAUUAGCUUCGUUGAGCGUUCACACAUUAGGCAUAUAGAGUAAGUGUACAGUAACACAUUUCCCUACAUAGUCCCUUGAAAAUCGGGCUUGUGUCGUGUGUUGCCGACUAAUUAAUGACCUGACUUUAAAAAAUAUCUGAUAGUCGAGAAGUAUUUUACAGUGAGAACAAAAAUGGAUGCUAUAACCUCAGUAAAUUUGAAAAAACCUCUAUUCAAAACUCACCUAAAUUUCAUUCAAACUCACCCAAUGGCACUAUGGCAG
RNAcentral lists this long non-coding RNA (870 nucleotides) under Linum usitatissimum (flax). RNAcentral's name for it is "long non-coding RNA (LUSI_LNC004437)". The record is from RNAcentral. Lineage: Eukaryota; Viridiplantae; Streptophyta; Magnoliopsida; Malpighiales; Linaceae.